Molecule: ribosomal RNA, 492 nt
Filed under: uncultured bacterium
Lineage: Bacteria
Description: partial 16S ribosomal RNA
Rfam family: Bacterial small subunit ribosomal RNA
Source: RNAcentral
AAUGAACGCUGGCGGCAUGCCUAACACAUGCAAGUCGAACGGUAACACCGUAACUGCUUGCUCUUCCCGGGUGCCAGUCGGGGGAGUGAGACGUGUAUGUCCUACUCCACACUUCCGGAGGAGAUAGCGUAAGUACGUUUACUACCAUAUACGAUCGCACCUAGAGGUGAAAGUGGGAAGUUUUCGGGUCUUGCACGGUUCCGUGGCCCGAUGUCGGAUUAGCUAGUUAGUGGGGUAACGGCCCAGCGAGGCGACGACCCGUAGCUGGUCUGAGAGGAUGAUCAGCCACACGGGAACGGAGACACGGUCCAGACUCCUACGGGAGGCAGCAGUGGGGAAUAUUGGACAAUGGGCGCAAGCCUGAUCCAGCCAUACCGCGUGUGUGAAGAAGGCCUUCGGGUGGUAAAGCCCUUUUGCUGGGAAAGAAAAGCAUCAAGUUAAUACCCAGGUGUUCUGACGGUACCCGAAGAAGAAGCACCGGCUAACUUCGUG